ACGAGUGGACUGAAAUACCCCUCCACAUGAGGGACAUAUGAUUAAAAUGUAACGAAUUUGGCAAGAAUUUGACAAAAAUUGAUACAUACGCUUUAAUUACUCGGAAUUGAAAAUUAAAAGAAUAAAAUUGAUAAAAUUGAAAUUAUAGAGACCAAAGUAAUAAAACACCAAUGGGAUGUUAGUUAGAUUAGUUGAGGCCUUUAGUGUGCUCCCAAGUGAUCGUAGGUUCAAGCCCCCCUUGGUACCGUGUGUGUG
This 255-nucleotide long non-coding RNA is filed under the name Prunus persica (peach). Its description in RNAcentral is "long non-coding RNA (PPER_LNC005124)". Lineage: Eukaryota; Viridiplantae; Streptophyta; Magnoliopsida; Rosales; Rosaceae. The record is from RNAcentral.